RNAcentral lists this microRNA (23 nucleotides) under Capitella teleta. RNAcentral's name for it is "cte-miR-2686a-5p". The record is from miRBase by way of RNAcentral. Lineage: Eukaryota; Metazoa; Annelida; Polychaeta; Capitellidae.
ACCUAUAUUGCGAAUCAUCUAUC